RNAcentral lists this ribosomal RNA (499 nucleotides) under uncultured bacterium. RNAcentral describes it as "bacterial SSU rRNA". It matches the Rfam family "Bacterial small subunit ribosomal RNA", at positions 1022 to 1529 of the family's 1533-position model. The record is from RNAcentral.
CAAGGCAGUUGUGAAGGUGCUGCAUGGUUGUCGUCAGCUCGUGCCGUGAGGUGUCGGCUUAAGUGCCAUAACGAGCGCAACCCUUAUCGAUAGUUACCAUCAGGUUAUGCUGGGGACUCUGUCGAGACUGCCGUCGUAAGAUGUGAGGAAGGUGGGGAUGACGUCAAAUCAGCACGGCCCUUACGUCCGGGGCUACACACGUGUUACAAUGGGGGGUACAGAAGGCAGCUACACGGCGACGUGAUGCUAAUCCCGAAAGCCUCUCUCAGUUCGGAUUGGAGUCUGCAACCCGACUCCAUGAAGCUGGAUUCGCUAGUAAUCGCGCAUCAGCCACGGCGCGGUGAAUACGUUCCCGGGCCUUGUACACACCGCCCGUCAAGCCAUGAAAGCCGGGGGUACCUGAAGUGCGUAACCGCAAGGAGCGCCCUAGGGUAAAACUGGUGAUUGGGGCUAAGUCGUAACAAAGUAGCCGUACCGGAAGGUGCGGCUGGAUCACCUC